AGGCACAGUGAACACCCAAGGAUGCUACUAUGGCUCCCCCUGGUCUCGUGUAUCUGUGCUAGAGUAAAUCUGAUCUGUACCUCUGCAUUACGAGAGCAUGUCCUCUCCUACAUGUAUUCAGCGGGUCAGAAUAAAC
RNAcentral lists this small nucleolar RNA (136 nucleotides) under Mastacembelus armatus (zig-zag eel). Its description in RNAcentral is "Small nucleolar RNA SNORA22 (ENSMAMG00000020972.2)". It matches the Rfam family "Small nucleolar RNA SNORA22". Rfam says of the family: ACA22 is a member of the H/ACA class of snoRNA that guide the sites of modification of uridines to pseudouridines. Lineage: Eukaryota; Metazoa; Chordata; Actinopteri; Synbranchiformes; Mastacembelidae. The record is from Rfam by way of RNAcentral.